RNAcentral lists this long non-coding RNA (5254 nucleotides) under Sus scrofa (pig). RNAcentral's name for it is "lncRNA (ENSSSCG00000058183.1)". The record is from RNAcentral. Lineage: Eukaryota; Metazoa; Chordata; Mammalia; Artiodactyla; Suidae.
AGUCUUACAAUCUCUUUUUAAAAGGCAAUUUGAGUUGUAUUGAUUUGCAGAGCUUGAGUUUAGAAUGCAUAGAUAAAUGCAUUUUGGUAAUAAAUGUUUCAAAAUUAGUUGACUUGAGAGUUAUUAAAGGCAAAAUUGAGUUCAAGGAUAAAUCUGUUGUGAGGUUAAGGCAUUUGUAAUAUUUUGGUUCUGUAUAUCUGGUGAGAGGCAUUUUUUUGGUGUUCUUUUACCUUGCUCACUUUUGUACAAAAAUUAAAGCAUAAGCAUAUUGAUCUUUUUUUUUUUAUUUGACACACUUGUGGAAAAUAACUCCUCCUUUUAACUUGUAUUCUAUGAGAGAAGUGAGACAAGCAAAGAAAUUACUGAUGUACAGCAUUUUACCAGCCAGUAUAAAGGUUAAAUAGGGGGACUCUAGUCUUUUUAAGUCCCAGGUUGGAGUAUUAGUCUGCCAAGCCAUGGAACCCUGAAAAUUAAUCUAAGCUCCUCUCACUUCAUUUGUCUCUAAACUGUGUGUUUUACUAGUACCUACUUCAUGGGGUGAUUGGGAGCAUUAAAUGAUUCGUAAGUGUCUAGACCAAUACCUGGUACUCUAAAGUGCUCAGGGAAUUCUAGGGAUUAUGGUAUUGUUAGGCUGCACAGCUAAGUUUCAGAGGAGGGAGUGGUCGACUCUACCUGAAAGGUGGCUAUAGACAUAAUUAAUAAAAGGAGACAUUUAAUGUCAUGAAUCUAUUAGACAGUGAUUGCCAUUGCUUUUAGUACCGAAUAUUCAUGAAACUGUUCGAUGAUGCUAUUAAGUAUACUUUUUGGAGAUUCUGAAGUAUGAAACUGUCUGAACUAUCCUAGAUCUAUUUUUUAAAAAUGAUCAUACCACUUUUCCUGCAGUAACCUUUCUCUAGGUGAAAUACAAUCCUAAGGUACCCAGUGGUUCCUCACAAAUGAGUAGCUAAGGACACAAACUUUGACCUUUCUUGGACAAAGGCAGACAAACAAGGAGAAAGAAGGAUGAGAAGAUGGAGUCAUCUUACCAAUGGCAAUAGUGAAAGUUGACAGAGUGUGUGGGACAUUGGCCUGUUUGAUCUCAGGUCUGUUCCCUGCCAUUUCCCUGUUUUGAUAUGACCACUGCAGACCUCCGUUUCUCAGGCAUCUUUGUACUGCUUUCCAGUUAGGCUUUGCAUUGGGAAGCACUGGUGAUGAAUAGCAGCAGUUUGUAAAGGUUUGAGGAGUCUUAAUUUAUCACUGUCAUAGGUGAUAGGAUGGUACACUUUCUUGACAAGUAUUAUUAUAAUAUAUAGAUAUUUUCAAAGCAGUUAGGGAAGCAAGGUGAUGUUAUUUGUAUAUCCUAGUAGUUGGAAUAUUACUAAGGCUGUCUUCACAUAGCUUGGAUGCCUGGGUCAAGUUAUUUCCCAGCACACCUCUCCUUUGCUUCUUUUUGUAAAAGGAGGGGCAAGAGGUAUCUUGUUCCUUUGUAUUUCCCUUAGUGCUUAGCAUAGUGCUUCAGAAAUACUAGGGUCUCAAUACUGUUGUUACAGUGAAGUCAGAACCAUUCAUCUAUACCUGUGCUGGCCCUUUGUUUCUGCAUAAGACAGCAGAGAAGCAGUCAGGUAGGAGUGAAUAGAAACGGAUUGUGUCCUAAGGAAGGGAAAAAUCCAUCUAUUUACUGGUUGCUUUAUUUAUAUUUCAUUCAAAUUCAUGUCACUGCUACUUUUCUUAGAAACUCCUGCAGUAGCCCAGUGGAUAAUUCAUCCUUUAUCUAUUGCAUUUACUCCUCCAGGGUCUAGACCUUAAAUGCCAACUUGUACUUCUGCCUCUCUCAUCCCUAUCUUAUGCUCUACUCAAGCCAGUUUCCUUUUGUUGUCUCUACACACUCUGUAUGAUUUUAUUUUUCUUGGACUUUACCUAGGCAGCUCUUCAUCUCCUUCAUGAUCUUUCUCAACUGUUCCAUCCAGAAUUGGUUGUUUUUCUGUUUGUAUCUUUUUAAGAACUUAUUACACUGAAUUACAAUUUGUGAUGGUCUUAAAUCAUGAGCAUUUUGAGCCAUUUUUACUAUUUUUUGAAAAUGGUCAAUACUUGGCAUUUUUCCUUUUAAAUAUUCAUUAAAUGAUAUUGAAUUACAGUUUAUUGUCUUAUAUUUGAUGAUUUAUAUUUCUACCUCAUGCACUAGACUGUGAACUUUUUGAGGAAGGGGCACCAGGAAAAGUGAUUCUUUGGCUUAAUUCUGUUCUGAAUUCCAGAUUGUUCAUAUACUUCCUGGUAAUACAUUACCUGGUAAUAUUAAAAGUCUAGCCGACUUUGAUUUUUGGAAAAACUUGGGAACUUAAUCCUGGAAGAAAAUUAAGGAAGUAUUCCAGUGUGAAAUAGAAAAUAUUUAUCUCAGCCCCUCAGUUUCUGGCACAGAGCUCUAAAAAUCCCCGUAAUUUCCUAUGUGAUAAUGCCACUAAGAACAUGUUUUAUUCCUAAUGUUUGGUCUUUGACUCUGGCUCCUGACAAAGAGUUCCUUAAUCUCUUGAAAUUUUCUGGGUGAUAGGGGUGUCUUUUGUUCUAAUGAGGUUAUGGUUGGUGGGCCCCUAGAUGGGGACUUGUCAUCAGAAAGAUCAAGCCAUAUUAGAAGCCUGGAACUUUCAGCCUCAGGGAGGGGGAGAAUGGCUGGAGAUGGAGUUAAUGCUCAAUCAAUCGGCCUACGUGAUGAAGCCUCCAUAAAAAUCUCAACAGCAUGCUAUUUGGAGCGCCUCCAGGUUGGCGAUCAUACCUGUGUUCUGGGAGGAUGGUGUACCCCCACUCCAUGGGGACGGACUCUCCUGUGCUCAGGACCCUUCUGGGCUUUGUCUUACAUCUCUUCAUCUGGCUGUUCUUCCACAUCCUUUACAAUAUUCUUUAUUUUAUAAUAAACCAGUAAAUGUAAGUAUUUCCCCCAGUUAUGUGAGCCAUUUCGGUAAAUGAUCAAACUCAAGGAAGGGGGCCAUGAGAACCGUGAUUUAUAGCUGGUCAAUCGGAAGUGCAGGUGACAACCUGGGACUGGGGCAUGGCAUUGGAAUGGGAGGAGCUUUGGGUGACUGAGCUCUUCAGUUGGGGGAUCUGGUACUAACUCCAGGUAGAUAGCAUCAGAACCAAAUUGAGUAGGACACAUAGCUGUUGCUGGAAUAUUGGUUGAGGUGGGGGAAAAAAACACACUCUUGGUGUCAGAAAUAUUGUGAGUGUGACAGUCAAGGAAAACACAGGAGAAUUUUUCUAAGACAUCCAGGACAUGGUUCAUCCAUUGGAAAUCCAAGCUAUUUUUGAGCAGAUGCUUCUGAAAGACUAAGUCACAGAACUGUACUAAUCAAUAUUGGUUUUAACUUUAUAAACAGAAUAAUCUGGAGAUACACAAAAUAAAAUGGGGCUGAUAUUUUCAGCUUAAUACCAGACAACUUGUUGACAUUUACUUUUAGGUUAUUAAUAUUUUUUCAUACCACCUAGAUAAGUAUAUAAAACAUAAUUCUCAAUUAUGGAGCUUAAUGAAAAAUUUCAGAAGCAGCCAUAUUCAUUGCCUAUAUAUAAGUACGGAUUUAUUCUUAUUGGUUACUGUGUCAUUUGAGAUUUUUUUUAAAGUCAUUUAAGAAAAUGAUUCUUAAAAUGGGUUGCACAUUCAAACUAGGCUAUUUAAGCAGAGUUUAACAAAGGGAGUGCUUAUAAAGUUGUGACCAGGGUUAGAGAAACCACAGGGGAGAGUGCAGGGUCCUAGAUCUAGUGACUGAGGGAGCUGUUACCAAGGAGAUGAAGGGGUUACCAGAAUGUGGAGAGAUAGCUAUGUGGGAAGCGUCUGUUGAAAGGAACAGGGGGUGUGGUGGAGGCUCAGCUAACUCAUGCUAUGGAGCAGGGAGUGGGUUAAGGAGGUGAUAAUCCCAUCUCAUUCUCCCUUUGCCCUCUGAUCUGUCAGUACCUCCCAGUGAAUGAAACCAACUGAAAGCUAUAAGUCAUGAAGCCCAUUUAUGUAGACUCUUGGGUCACAGACAUGGUAACAGAGAGCACAGGGCAAAUGUGAAAUAGCUAAUGUAGGCACUGAUUAGCUCUAUAUUUCCCCAUGUUCCCAAAAUGAGGACAGGCAUUAGAGUGGGAACAUAAGAUAGCUUGUUCUUUGGAUGACCCAGGUACUGAUUAUCACAGGAUUCUUACAGAUUCUAGAAUACAUAUAUUUUGGUGUUUUAGGGCCACACUUGUGGCAUAGGAGUGGGUUAAAUAGGGGGUUGAAUCGGAGCUGCAGCUGCCGGCCUACACUAUGGCCACAGCAACACCAGGUCUGAGCCACAGCUGUGACCUACACCACAGCUCAAGUCAACACUAGAUCCUUAGCCCACUGAGCAAGGCCAGGGAUUGAACCUGCAUCCUCAUGGGUACUAGUCGAGUUUGUAAUCUGUGGAGCCACAAAGGGAGCUCCCAAUCCUAGAAUCUUGAUGAGUCUUAACUGGGUAUGAAAAUAAGCCCCCAAAUUUCUAAGGGGGCCCUACUCAUUAUAGAAAUACAGUCAUAAUCCUCAAAAUACCAGCUGUCACCAGUUGAUUAGAGUUAGCUCAUAGAAUGUAAGAGAUUUUCUGUUUCUGGUGAGUAAGUUUGGAGCAAUCAGAAAAGGGCCGGAGAGAUGAGGAGCUGGAAUCGAGGUAGACCUUGAAGAUUUCCUCUUGUGCUUUGGAAGCGAGAGUGCUGGCUUUUCUACUACAGUUUUCCAGAAUCACCAACUUUGAUGCGUAUGAAGUUUUUGGAGAAUUAGACCAGUUACAUCACACCUUCGCUUUCUCUUUUUAACUCCAACUCUAACUUUUUUCUGAAAUAAUUUAUUUUCUAUCUCUUUAAUCAUUUUCCCUGCUCUUUGGACGGUUUCCAGUUUCUCCACAUUCUUUCAAAUAUAGCUUAACUAUUACAAAAGGCUAUUCUGGAAAAUCAUUACUUAAAGGAAGAUUGUCAAAGCAUUUAAACGUUUAAAAAUGGCGACAUAAAUGUUAAAAAAUGAAGUGUUCCUGUCUAAUAAUGCUGAUAGUGGAAUUGUAGUAAAUUAAAUUACAUCAGGUCAGAGCAAAAACCUUGAAUGAGAGUCAAGCAUAUCGGUGUCUGAGAAAGAAAUUCUUUGUUAAGAGAAAGUGAUUGCAAAGAGCCAAAAAUAAAACUGAAGAGAGAACUUUUCCUUGUGCCAGUCAUUAAAAAUUCUCCUCUAAGAUGAGGAUCUCUUUGUUUCUGGAAGUCGAGAUGCUAAAGUGAAAUCUCAAAGAAGCCCAGAUAUUUUGUU